This 466-nucleotide ribosomal RNA is filed under the name uncultured bacterium. RNAcentral describes it as "bacterial SSU rRNA". It matches the Rfam family "Bacterial small subunit ribosomal RNA", at positions 28 to 508 of the family's 1533-position model. The record is from RNAcentral.
GACGAACGCUGGCGGCGUGCCUAACACAUGCAAGUCGAACGGGGUAAUGACUUCGGUUAUUACUUAGUGGCGAACGGGUGAGUAACGCGUGAGGAACCUGCCUUUCAGUGGGGGACAACAGUUGGAAACGACUGCUAAUACCGCAUAAUGUAUCGAUGGGGCAUCCUGUUGAUACCAAAGAUUUAUUGCUGAAAGAUGGUCUCGCGUCUGAUUAGCUAGUUGGUGAGGUAACGGCUCACCAAGGCGACGAUCAGUAGCCGGUCUGAGAGGAUGAACGGCCACAUUGGGACUGAGAUACGGCCCAGACUCCUACGGGAGGCAGCAGUGGGGAAUAUUGGGCAAUGGGGGAAACCCUGACCCAGCAACGCCGCGUGAAGGAAGAAGGCCUUCGGGUUGUAAACGUUCUUUACCUAGGACGAAGAACGUAGACGGUACCUGGAGAAAAAGACAACGGCUAACUACGUAG